This 577-nucleotide long non-coding RNA is filed under the name Hordeum vulgare. RNAcentral's name for it is "long non-coding RNA (HVUL_LNC006270)". The record is from RNAcentral. Lineage: Eukaryota; Viridiplantae; Streptophyta; Magnoliopsida; Poales; Poaceae.
ACCUGGCCGGUAAUGCUUGCUCGGUUGAUCAUCAGAAAAUCCGAAUGUUGCAUGGCAUCACGAAUUAAUUAAACCCUGAUGUUGAUGUCAAUGUUAGUCCACAAGUGUUGGCUGACUUCGUUACUGUUUCCGCACGUGCGAUGCAUCUGCUCGAUGACUUUGCCGAGCUCCAUCGUGUGGAUGAUCAAAGACGAAGAGCAAGUAGAGCAGUAGUAGUACUUCGUUCCUAAUUGUUUGGAUGAUCCAUCGUGUGGAUGAUCAAAGACGAAGUGCAAUAGUGGUAAAAUACGUUUGGACAAAACAAAACGGUGCCAUGAUUGUUUUUAUCCGUGCACGAUUCCAGAAAAGAAGGAGUAGCAAAGUUUUUGGUCACGUGGGAAGCGCCGAAGCCACACCGAGUGGUCGGACACGGACGGUGUAGCUAGGAGCUUCAUUCAGGGUGGUUGCCAACUAACUUCGGAAGAGAAGUGCUAGCGGCACCCCGAUGUGCCGCGGAAAACGAACGAACGAUAUGGCGGCAGGCAUGCAUGGCCAACAGGUCGGAGCUCUGCCGCAACACUUGGCCAGCAGGCGGAAG